Molecule: long non-coding RNA, 1247 nt
Filed under: Gossypium barbadense (sea-island cotton)
Lineage: Eukaryota; Viridiplantae; Streptophyta; Magnoliopsida; Malvales; Malvaceae
Description: long non-coding RNA (GBAR_LNC021587)
Source: RNAcentral
AAAGUGUAAAGGAAGAUGGGUAUCAUGCUUUGGAAGACUUUCUUCAUGUUAUUGUAAAUGGUCUGUGGCGUACAUUUUGGCGUAAAAGUGGACCACUGCCAUUCUCUCUAUGUUGUUUCCAUCAUCCUGGAUCUAAGUUUUAUGCUGUUGAGAAAGCAAUAUCAAGAGGAAGGUUAGAAGAGCUACGCGGUUUAGCUUUAAUAUCUAAAAAUGGGAAUAAUCUAAAAGUUCAUUGGAACCAAGUAGUGGAGUUAGUCUUAUUUAGACAAAACAUACUCUCAGGAAAUGAGUUAAAAUUGUCCGUCAGCACCAUAUGUGAAGCCCUCUUUUAUGGUGUUCACAUACUUAUUUCUAGGUGUCUGAGCAAGUCCAGAACCAUCAGCGAUGAUUCUGUUUUUAUUAUGGUUUUUGAUUCUAAAUUUGGUGCAGUGAUAAAACUUGGAGGUGAUCUUAGUAAACUAGAAUUGAACACAGGUGAUCCGUACCAGUCUGUGGCCCAUUGGAUAAAAUGUCAUGCUGAAGUCCUCCUCUCAUCAGUAGAGACAAUAUGGAAUAGGCUUGGAAAUGCAAAUUGGGGAGAUCUUGGGACUCUUCAAGUAUUGUUAGCUGCUUUCUAUUCCAUUGUCCAGUGUAAUGGACCACCAAGAAAGUCAAUAUCCUCAUUGGCCUCAGCUCAUAGCCUUCGUCUUCAGAAGCGUAGAAUAGAAUGCCGCCUAGCUGAGAAUGAAAAUGCCAAAAUACCUUAUCAACAGGAUGGCUACCAACAUGGAGAGAUUGUUGAACUUGAUCACAGUGAUAAUCCCCUGGUAAAAAAUACAUCACACUUGAAGCUUAGGCAGGGAGAAAUAUUGCUCUUGGAGGAUCAACAACAGGGCCAGAAAAGUUUCCAGAUACAGGAGUCCUUCAUAGGAGGCAACUAUUUUCUCUAUGGUGCUAUUUCUCUAGAUUACCCCACACAGUUGUUAACAUUGUAUGUUGGUGCCCAUCCAUCCAGACUCGAGCCCUCUUGGGAGGAUAUGAGUCUGUGGUAUCAAGUACAAAGACAAACAAAGGUACUAAACAUAUUGAAGCAUCAAGGGGUUUCAAGCAAAUAUUUACCUGAAGUAAUUGCCUCUGGCCGAAUUUUGCAUCCUGGUCCUUGCAAAAAGCAGACUCCUAGUGUGCGAUGCGAUCAUCCUUGGUGCGGAACUCCAAUUCUUGUCACGUUACCAGUUGGCGAACCACUUUCAUAUAUAGUUGCUAGGGAC